This 480-nucleotide ribosomal RNA is filed under the name uncultured bacterium. Its description in RNAcentral is "partial 16S ribosomal RNA". It matches the Rfam family "Bacterial small subunit ribosomal RNA", at positions 28 to 523 of the family's 1533-position model. The record is from RNAcentral.
GACGAACGCUGGCGGCGUGCUUAACACAUGCAAGUCGAACGGUAAGGCCCUUCGGGGUACACGAGUGGCGAACGGGUGAGUAACACGUGGGUGAUCUGCCCUGCACUUUGGGAUAAGCCUGGGAAACUGGGUCUAAUACCGAAUACACCCUGCUGGUCGCAUGGCCUGGAGGGGGAAAGCUUUUGCGGUGUGGGAUGGGCCCGCGGCCUAUCAGCUUGUUGGUGGGGUGAUGGCCUACCAAGGCGACGACGGGUAGCCGGCCUGAGAGGGUGACCGGCAACACUGGGACUGAGAUACGGCCCAGACUCCUACGGGAGGCAGCAGUGGGGAAUAUUGCACAAUGGGCGCAAGCCUGAUGCAGCGACGCCGCGUGCGGGAUGACGGCCUUCGGGUUGUAAACCUCUUUCAAUAGGGACGAAGCGCAAGUGACGGUACCUAUAGAAGAAGGACCGGCCAACUACGUGCCAGCCGCCGCGGUAA